GACGAACGCUGGCGGCGUGCUUAACACAUGCAAGUCGAACGAAGUGGCGAACGGGUGAGUAACGCGUAAUCAACCUGCCCUUCAGUGGGGGACAACAGUUGGAAACGACUGCUAAUACCGCAUACUGAAGGAGGGGAUUGGGUCUGCUUAGCUAGUUGGAGGGGUAACGGCCCACCAAGGAGAUGAUCAGUAGCCGGUCUGGGAGGAUGAACGGCUACAUUGGGACUGGGACACGGCCCAAAUUCCUGCGGGAGGCAUCAGUGGGGAAUCUUCCGCAAUGGAAGGAAGUCUGACGGAGCAACGCCGCGUGAGGGAUGACGGCCUUCGGGUUGUAAAACUCAGUUAAUCGGGACGCGGUACCGGAAUAGAAAGCCACGGCUAACUACGUGCCAGCAGCCGCGGUAAUAC
RNAcentral lists this ribosomal RNA (408 nucleotides) under uncultured bacterium. Its description in RNAcentral is "partial 16S ribosomal RNA". It matches the Rfam family "Bacterial small subunit ribosomal RNA", at positions 28 to 526 of the family's 1533-position model. The record is from RNAcentral.